Molecule: long non-coding RNA, 997 nt
Organism: Cervus elaphus (red deer)
Lineage: Eukaryota; Metazoa; Chordata; Mammalia; Artiodactyla; Cervidae
Exons: 5
Source: RefSeq, a predicted model, not a curated record
CUGAAGGGCCUGGGCCUACGGCAUGCACUCCAGGCAUGGGGCGAGGCGACCACAGAUGAGGCCUUGCAGUGCAACCCUCGUCAGCCAGGUUGCUUGUGUCCGAAGAAGCGGCAGUCCCUUUAACCAGGGUGGUCCUGGGCGGAAGUUGCCGGGCACUGCGGGCAGCUGCGUCCAUCGCAGCUCAGGACGCAGGGGCGCUCCCGGACCCAGCCGUCCGCGCACGCUCGGCGCAGGCGCACUAGCAGCUGGCUUCCUGUAGAAUCUCGAUUUGGAGACUUCGGGGCACUCGAAACGCAGGAGGUGGGUUUUCUUAUCUUGCUGUGGCUCCAGCUCGCGCUCCGCCUGGCCCCUGGGGCUGGAGCUGCAGCUCCUGCUCAGCCCGGAGAGCCUCCACCAGCCUCUGCUUAGGAAAUGCAGCCCGUCCUGGUACUUCAGUCUGCGAGAACUGUGUUGACUCAGAUACAGGAGUAUUUGGAGAGUUGAUCGUUUUCACCUGGGCCCACUGCUGCCACACACAAGACCUGGCUUCUGUUAGAUCACAGAAAAAAUCAGGGACCAGAAGACCAUAAAGCUUUAGGAAUAAAAAUGAAACCCAGCACCCACAGCAAUAAAAGUCUCAAUGUCUAGUCAUAAAUUCCAGGCAUGAGCAAAGAAUCUGACAGUUCCACUGAGCAUUUGAGCCAGGAGAUGGAGGGCUGUCUGGAGGAGAUGCCCUGUUUUCUCUGUGAGGGUAACGCUGUCUUCUAAAAUGAAACUAUGUCUGAGAGGAAAUGGAAUUCCCCUUGAUGCAAUCCCUUCUGGAAAAGUCCACCGUCCAAGGGCCAGAGACCAGGGACAAAAGCAAGGGAAAGAAGACAUUCUCUGCCAAAAACUGAGUUCUUGUGGAGAAGUACAGACAGACCUCCAUCCUCUAUUAUAUCCCUAACACAGAUCACACAGGUUCAACCUGCAGCCAGCAACCAACAUCCUAAGUUUUCGCAACGCCAGUCGAGAAAAA